This 767-nucleotide ribosomal RNA is filed under the name uncultured Bacteroidota bacterium. RNAcentral's name for it is "bacterial SSU rRNA". It matches the Rfam family "Bacterial small subunit ribosomal RNA", at positions 69 to 845 of the family's 1533-position model. The record is from RNAcentral. Lineage: Bacteria; Pseudomonadati; Bacteroidota.
UAGUAUAGCAAUAUAUGAGACCGGCGCACGGGUGCGUAACGCGUAUGCAACCUACCUUUUACAGGGGAAUAGCCCAGAGAAAUUUGGAUUAAUGCCCCAUAGUAUAAUUGAAUGGCAUCAUUUGAUUAUUAAAGUUCCAACGGUAAAGGAUGGGCAUGCGUCCUAUUAGCUAGAUGGUAAGGUAACGGCUUACCAUGGCUACGAUAGGUAGGGGUCCUGAGAGGGAGAUCCCCCACACUGGUACUGAGACACGGACCAGACUCCUACGGGAGGCAGCAGUGAGGAAUAUUGGACAAUGGGCGCAAGCCUGAUCCAGCCAUGCCGCGUGCAGGAAGACGCAUCUAUGGUGUGUAAACUGCUUUUGUACGGGAAGAAACACUCCCUCGUGAGGGAGCUUGACGGUACCGUAAGAAUAAGGAUCGGCUAACUCCGUGCCAGCAGCCGCGGUAAUACGGAGGAUCCAAGCGUUAUCCGGAAUCAUUGGGUUUAAAGGGUCCGUAGGCGGUUUAAUAAGUCAGUGGUGAAAGCCCAUCGCUCAACGAUGGAACGGCCAUUGAUACUGUUAGACUUGAAUUACAAGGAAGUAACUAGAAUAUGUAGUGUAGCGGUGAAAUGCUUAGAUAUUACAUGGAAUACCAAUUGCGAAGGCAGGUUACUACUUGUGGAUUGACGCUGAUGGACGAAAGCGUGGGGAGCGAACAGGAUUAGAUACCCUGGUAGUCCACGCCGUAAACGAUGGAUACUAGCUGUUCGGAGCAAUCUGAGUG